This 500-nucleotide RNase P RNA is filed under the name Candidatus Buchananbacteria bacterium RIFCSPHIGHO2_01_FULL_39_14. RNAcentral describes it as "RNase P RNA component class A". It matches the Rfam family "Bacterial RNase P class A". Rfam says of the family: Ribonuclease P (RNase P) is a ubiquitous endoribonuclease, found in archaea, bacteria and eukarya as well as chloroplasts and mitochondria. Lineage: Bacteria; Candidatus Buchananiibacteriota. The record is from RNAcentral. RNAcentral also lists the same sequence under 1 other name.
CAAGUAAGCAAGGUGGUCGCCCCCUCACUUGGUCCGAUGAUUAGUAUUUAGGAAACAUAAAUACCUUAUAUAUUUAAUCAUUAAGCCAAGUGAGGGGGAGGAAAGUCCGAACACCAUUCCCGAUUUAAUGUCGGGGUAAAAUGGCAACUCCUAACGGGAGCCGAGAGUAACAAAAGAGUAGAAGCGCUUAAGACUUCUGCACUUUUGCCAAGCUUAGGGCAAGUGCAACAGAAAAUAUACCGCCUAAGUCCUCCGCAGUUGCGGUGGAACGGUAAGGUUGAAAUCGUGGGCCCACCUUUGGGUGGGAUACCCUCGCUUCGGCGAGAUAAAGUAAGAGCCCACGGCCGACAGACUGGUAACAGUCGGGUUGGUAAACUCCUGCCUGGUGCAAUGCCAAAUUAGGUAGGCAGCUUGAUCCCGACGGCAACGUCGGGACCAGAUAGAUGACCACCCCCCUUAAAAGUGGGUGACAGAAUUCGGCUUAUUAGCUUACUUGGAUA